This 402-nucleotide ribosomal RNA is filed under the name uncultured bacterium. RNAcentral's name for it is "bacterial SSU rRNA". It matches the Rfam family "Bacterial small subunit ribosomal RNA", at positions 355 to 774 of the family's 1533-position model. The record is from RNAcentral.
UGGGGAAUCUUGCACAAUGGAGGAAACUCUGAUGCAGCGACGCCGUGUGAGCGAUGAAGCCCUUCGGGGUGUAAAGCUCUUUCGACGGGAACGAUAAUGACGGUACCCGGAGAAGAAGCUGCGGCUAACUACGUGCCGGCAGCCGCGGUAAUACGUAGGCAGCAAACGUUGUUCGGAAUUACUGGGCGUAAAGAGUGUGUAGGCGGUUUUGCAAGUUUGGUGUGAAAUCUCCCGGCUUAACUGGGAGGGUGCGCCGAAAACUGCAAGGCUCGAGUACUGGAGAGGAAAGCGGAAUUCCUGGUGUAGCGGUGAAAUGCGUAGAUAUCAGGAGGAACACCGGUGGUGUAGACGGCUUUCUGGACAGUCACUGACGCUGAGACACGAAAGCGUGGGGAGCAAACA